UACGUAGGGUGCAAGCGUUGUCCGGAAUUAUUGGGCGUAAAGAGCUCGUAGGCGGUCUGUCGCGUCUGCUGUGAAAACUCAGGGCUUAACCCUGAGCUUGCAGUGGGUACGGGCAGACUAGGGUGCGGUAGGGGAGACUGGAAUUCCUGGUGUAGCGGUGAAAUGCGCAGAUAUCAGGAGGAACACCGGUGGCGAAGGCGGGUCUCUGGGCCGUAACUGACGCUGAGGAGCGAAAGCAUGGGGAGCGAACAGG
This 253-nucleotide ribosomal RNA is filed under the name uncultured bacterium. RNAcentral's name for it is "partial 16S ribosomal RNA". It matches the Rfam family "Bacterial small subunit ribosomal RNA", at positions 524 to 776 of the family's 1533-position model. The record is from RNAcentral.